This 253-nucleotide ribosomal RNA is filed under the name uncultured bacterium. Its description in RNAcentral is "partial 16S ribosomal RNA". It matches the Rfam family "Bacterial small subunit ribosomal RNA", at positions 524 to 776 of the family's 1533-position model. The record is from RNAcentral.
UACGAAGGGUGCAAGCGUUAAUCGGAAUUACUGGGCGUAAAGCGCACGUAGGCGGUUUUUUAAGUCAGAUGUGAAAUCCCCGGGCUCAACCUGGGAACUGCAUUUGUGACUGCAAGGCUAGAGUACGGCAGAGGGGGAUGGAAUUCCGCGUGUAGCAGUGAAAUGCGUAGAUAUGCGGAGGAACACCAAUGGCGAAGGCAAUCCCCUGGGCCUGUACUGACGCUCAUGCACGAAAGCGUGGGGAGCAAACAGG